Molecule: microRNA precursor, 75 nt
Filed under: Myotis brandtii (Brandt's bat)
Lineage: Eukaryota; Metazoa; Chordata; Mammalia; Chiroptera; Vespertilionidae
Description: mir-9193 microRNA precursor family
Rfam family: mir-9193 microRNA precursor family
Source: Rfam by way of RNAcentral
UUGGGGAUGGGGGGCGUCCCUCAGCCCGGAUUGCAAGAGGGUGCAGGCCAGGCUGAGGGACCUCACCGGUGCAUG